UGGCAGGUGGAAUGAACUUUGAGAGC
RNAcentral lists this non-coding RNA (26 nucleotides) under Rattus norvegicus (Norway rat). The record is from RNAcentral. Lineage: Eukaryota; Metazoa; Chordata; Mammalia; Rodentia; Muridae.